Molecule: ribosomal RNA, 502 nt
Filed under: uncultured bacterium
Lineage: Bacteria
Description: bacterial SSU rRNA
Rfam family: Bacterial small subunit ribosomal RNA
Source: RNAcentral
AGAGUUUGAUCAUGGCUCAGAUUGAACGCUGGCGGAAUGCUUUACACAUGCAAGUCGAACGGCAGCACGGGGCAACCUGGUGGCGAGUGGCGAACGGGUGAGUAAUACAUCGGAACGUGCCCAAUCGUGGGGGAUAACGUAGCGAAAGUUACGCUAAUACCGCAUACGAUCUACGGAUGAAAGCGGGGGAUCGCAAGACCUCGCGCGAAUGGAGCGGCCGAUGUCAGAUUAGGUAGUUGGUGGGGUAAAGGCUCACCAAGCCAACGAUCUGUAGCUGGUCUGAGAGGACGACCAGCCACACUGGAACUGAGACACGGUCCAGACUCCUACGGGAGGCAGCAGUGGGGAAUUUUGGACAAUGGGCGCAAGCCUGAUCCAGCCAUUCCGCGUGCAGGAUGAAGGCCUUCGGGUUGUAAACUGCUUUUGUACGGAACGAAAAGGUCCUGGUUAAUACCUGGGGCUAAUGACGGUACCGUAAGAAUAAGCACCGGCUAACUACGUG